AAUUUUGCUGGGGAGCAUUAAAUGCCGCCAUUACUGACGACGAUCCUUUUCUCUCUCCCCCAACUCCUCAUUAAAUUCUCAUUACUGCACUUGCUCCUCCUACUAAUUGCACACCAAUAUUCAUUUAUUUUUAUUAAUCUCUCUCGUUUCCUCUCUAUAUAAACAAUCUCUCUGUAUAAACAAUCCCCUGUAACUCAACCCCUUUAUAUCUUCUUUUCAUCUCUCCUCUCUCCCGUAAUACACACACAAACAUGGCUGCCGAUAUAGGCCAUCUCUUUCGGGUGAUGAACGGCUACAAGGACGAUGGGAUUUCCAAAUCAACGGCUCUCGUUACUCGUGAUUUACUCGGCGGUGGUUCCAACUCGGCUAGCUUUGAUUCUCAAGAAUUAGAACUCGAUUUGCAAGUUCCCUCUGGCUUUGAAAAACGGCUUGAUUUAAAGUCAGGAAAAGUUUAUCUUCAGAGGUGUAACUCUCCAAAUACAACAUCUGCAUCCCCUGAACAUGUGCACCAAACCAAUCAAACAAUGUCAAAGCUUCAAGACUUGAAUUAUCCGCCAGCACCGAAACCUCUGAACCUCUUUGAUGAUACUAGCCUGGACCUCAAACUUGUGCAAUCGGCUCAUGCAAAGUCCACUUCCAAUUAUCAGAGUGUGUGCACUCUUGACAAGGUGAAGUCUGCACUUGAAAGAGCAGAGAAGGAGACGAAUAGGAAGAGGUCCAUGUCAGUGUCACCACCUAGCUUAUCAUCUUCUGUUAUUGAAACUGAAAGUACGGACUCUGAGGAGAAAUCUUUUGCUUCUUUUGCUGCUGGAUGCCCCAGUUGCCUGCUAUAUGUCCUGUUAUCAAAGAGCAACCCUAGAUGCCCUCGAUGCAACAUGAUCGUUCCAUCACCUAUGCCAUUGAAGAAGCCUAGGAUUGAUCUCAACUUAUGAAUCUAAGCAGUUUAGGAACCUUAAACUGGGGUUAAUGAAUAGUUCCUGUCGAGUGUCAACAAUGUCAAGACAUAUAUUCUGAUGUUGCAAGUCCUCAAGUGAGAUCAAUUCAAGCAAGAAUCCGUAGUAGUUAUGUUGAACAUGUUCUUGCUUUUCCUUUGCCACUUGCAUGCCACAGUGAUCGACCAUCUCUUUAAAAAGGUUGUUUCAUGUGAAUAAUAAUGGCAAAGGGAGGAGGACAAUUUACUGAAGCCACAGAAAAAGGUUUUAAGAAAUCUAGGUGAAGACAGGUUUGGUGAGCAAACAACAUAGCAGAGGUAGUUCUUGCUUCUUGUGGAAAACAAUUCAUUAUGCACAUAUGUUGAUAUUUAAUGAGACCCAAGUGGAUCUAGACUAAGAAAUCUAAUCAAAUGGUACUUAGAUGUUUGAGAUGUGGCAUAAAGGGGGUCAGGGGUGGCUGUAUACAACUUACAAGAUGCUGUGAAAUAAACAAUUAUUAUAUGCAUAAUAAUUGAAGCCAAACUCACACUUCACUUUUGCUGCUGCUGCCGCAGUUCAA
This is an RNA transcript of Daucus carota subsp. sativus, 1491 nucleotides long. RefSeq lists it as uncharacterized. The record is from RefSeq and is a predicted model, not a curated record. NCBI's taxonomy places the organism in Eukaryota, Viridiplantae, Streptophyta, Magnoliopsida, Apiales, Apiaceae. The transcript is spliced from 4 exons.